AUAUAUACAUAUACCAUGAUCAAGAAGAUAGUUUCCCAGGGCAAGGCUUAUCCAUUGCACUCCGAAUGUGCCGACCCCAGCAACUUUCAUAAAUGUGGGAAACUCAAUUGUAUAAUUUGUGGCAGGAGGAGAGGGAGACUGCUUUUGACUCUCU
RNAcentral lists this small nuclear RNA (154 nucleotides) under Sorex araneus (European shrew). Its description in RNAcentral is "U1 spliceosomal RNA (ENSSARG00000016173.1)". It matches the Rfam family "U1 spliceosomal RNA". From Rfam's summary of the family: U1 is a small nuclear RNA (snRNA) component of the spliceosome (involved in pre-mRNA splicing). Its 5' end forms complementary base pairs with the 5' splice junction, thus defining the 5' donor site of an intron. There are significant differences in sequence and secondary structure between metazoan and yeast U1 snRNAs, the latter being much longer (568 nucleotides as compared to 164 nucleotides in human). Lineage: Eukaryota; Metazoa; Chordata; Mammalia; Eulipotyphla; Soricidae. The record is from RNAcentral.